This 224-nucleotide ribosomal RNA is filed under the name uncultured Aeromonas sp. RNAcentral's name for it is "partial 16S ribosomal RNA". It matches the Rfam family "Bacterial small subunit ribosomal RNA", at positions 953 to 1176 of the family's 1533-position model. The record is from RNAcentral. Lineage: Bacteria; Pseudomonadati; Pseudomonadota; Gammaproteobacteria; Aeromonadales; Aeromonadaceae.
GAUGCAACGCGAAGAACCUUACCUGGCCUUGACAUGUCUGGAAUCCUGCAGAGAUGCGGGAGUGCCUUCGGGAAUCAGAACACAGGUGCUGCAUGGCAGUCGUCAGCUCGUGUCGUGAGAUGUUGGGUUAAGUCCCGCAACGAGCGCAACCCCUGUCCUUUGUUGCCAGCACGUAAUGGUGGGAACUCAAGGGAGACUGCCGGUGAUAAACCGGAGGAAGGUGG